UAUAUUGGCUUUUCUUUUUUUAAUUUAUUAGUUUUUUUAGUUUAGAAUACAUUAGUAGCUUUAGAAAAUAUACAUUCGGUAGUUAGUUUAGAAAAAAUAUAUGCAAAAGCAGUACAUAUAGUUAGUUUAAAAUAUAUGGAUUUAGCUUAGAAAGCAGUACUUGUUAACGUUAACUUAGAAAGUAUAUGCUAUUAGUAUUUAGAAAUGAU
This 209-nucleotide long non-coding RNA is filed under the name Lathyrus oleraceus (garden pea). Its description in RNAcentral is "Pisum sativum (pea) long non-coding RNA (PSAT_LNC041759)". The record is from RNAcentral. Lineage: Eukaryota; Viridiplantae; Streptophyta; Magnoliopsida; Fabales; Fabaceae.